Molecule: long non-coding RNA, 531 nt
Organism: Acanthochromis polyacanthus (spiny chromis)
Lineage: Eukaryota; Metazoa; Chordata; Actinopteri; Pomacentridae
Exons: 2
Source: RefSeq, a predicted model, not a curated record
UUAGAAUGUCCGAGAACCAUCAAGGAAGCAUGUAACUUGUCCUGGCUUCUGUGGUGGAAAAAACUCCGACCUUGGUCAGGUCUUUUUGCGAUGUCCGAAAGACUUUUGAAGAUCCGAUCCUCCAACAAGGUGGGCCAGAGAUCCAUUUGAUGGUGAGCCUCCCAUGACAAACUGUGAAGUCCACCACCACAGCUCUCGGCAAUCGGAUCCCGUGGUAGGAUAGUGCCAAUUUUGCUGAAGGCACCAACAAGAUCUCAAUCUGGAUAUUUACCCAAUAUCCAUGACUUUUGACUAUUCUCCCUGACUUUAUGACUGAACUGAUCUUGGAUCAAUAAAGAACAUUUUCCGCAAGGAACUAAUUGAAAAAGAAAAGGACUGUUUGAAAGAGACAAUUUAUUUAUUUUUAUUUUAUUUUUGGGCCCAGGUUAUGUGCACACCAUUUCAUGUUGUAAACUGUUGCCAUAUUUGUAAACCAAAUAUUUUCUAAAACAAAAGAAAAAAACUAAAGUUUACAAUUUUCACAAAUUUAAA